GACGUAGGGCGCGAGCGUUGUCCGGAUUUAUUGGGCGUAAAGAGCUCGUAGGCGGCUCGUUGCGUCGGCUGUGAAAACCCGCAGCUCAACUGUGGGCUUGCAGCCGAUACGGGCGGGCUUGAGUUCGGUGAGGGGAGACUGGAAUUCCUGGUGUAGCGGUGAAAUGCGCAGAUAUCAGGAGGAACACCGGUGGCGAAGGCGGGUCUCUGGGCAACAACUGACGCUGGAGGAGCGAAAGCGUGGGGAGCGAACAGG
RNAcentral lists this ribosomal RNA (255 nucleotides) under uncultured bacterium. RNAcentral's name for it is "partial 16S ribosomal RNA". It matches the Rfam family "Bacterial small subunit ribosomal RNA", at positions 524 to 776 of the family's 1533-position model. The record is from RNAcentral.